This 519-nucleotide ribosomal RNA is filed under the name uncultured bacterium. RNAcentral describes it as "partial 16S ribosomal RNA". It matches the Rfam family "Bacterial small subunit ribosomal RNA", at positions 28 to 507 of the family's 1533-position model. The record is from RNAcentral.
GACGAACGCUGGCGGCGUGCCUAAUACAUGCAAGUCGAGCGAGUCUGCCUUGAAGAUCGGAGUGCUUGCACUCUGUGAAACAAGAUACAGGCUAGCGGCGGACGGGUUAGUAACACGUGGGUAACCUGCCCAAGAGAUCGGGAUAACACCUGGAAACAGAUGCUAAUACCGGAUAACAACAGAUGAUGCCUAUCAACUGUUUAAAAGAUGGUUCUGCUAUCACUCUUGGAUGGACCUGCGGUGCAUUAGCUAGUUGGUAGGGUAACGGCCUACCAAGGCGAUGAUGCAUAGCCGAGUUGAGAGACUGAUCGGCCACAUUGGGACUGAGACACGGCCCAAACUCCUACGGGAGGCAGCAGUAGGGAAUCUUCCACAAUGGACGCAAGUCUGAUGGAGCAACGCCGCGUGAGUGAAGAAGGGUUUCAGCUCGUAAAGCUCUGUUGUUGGUGAAGAAGGACAGGGGUAGUAACUGACCUUUGUUUGACGGUAAUCAAUUAGAAAGUCACGGCUAACUACGUG